RNAcentral lists this ribosomal RNA (200 nucleotides) under uncultured bacterium. RNAcentral's name for it is "partial 16S ribosomal RNA". It matches the Rfam family "Bacterial small subunit ribosomal RNA", at positions 328 to 539 of the family's 1533-position model. The record is from RNAcentral.
ACGCUCGACACCUACUGGAGGCAGCAGUGGGGGAUAUUGCGCAAUGGGGGAAACCCUGACGCAGCAACGCCGCGUGAAGGACGAAGGUUUUCGGAUUGUAAACUUCUUUUGUUAGGGACGAAGAAAUGACGGUACCUGACGAAUAAGCUCCGGCUAACUACGUGUCAGCAGCCGCGGUAAUCUGAGCGGGCUGGCAAGGC